Molecule: long non-coding RNA, 970 nt
Organism: Boleophthalmus pectinirostris (great blue-spotted mudskipper)
Lineage: Eukaryota; Metazoa; Chordata; Actinopteri; Gobiiformes; Gobiidae
Exons: 3
Source: RefSeq, a predicted model, not a curated record
GGAUCAGAGAACGCGUCUGGUCUGGUGCGUCCGUCCGUGCGUGCGCCUGUGUGUGUGUGUGUUUGCGCGCGAGUCUGUGUGCGUUUCAGUGUGUGUUUGUUUUUUCAGCUGGGGGAGAGAAAGCAGAGCGAGCCCGGACGAGUAGCAGACAGACAGUAGCUGUGGCGGCGGAGGUUCCAAACGGAUAGCUCUGGACGUGUAAAAUGUAGGGCACGCUAGCCGCUGCUACCACCUCCACUUCCCAGCUCCGGCUCCUGCUCCUGCUCCAGCUAUCAUCCAGUUGAUUUAGCUAUCUGCCUUUCUCCACAGUGCGUAGAUGCAGCAGUGAGGGAGCACAAAAAGACAGCUAAGGACAUUGCAAGCUCCACUUCUUCUGUGUUUACCAAUGCUGGCUUAUCCUAGCUGACAGAACUGGCAUGUAAAAACUAUCAUCUAUCGUCCUUGGAGAGUGUCGAGACAGAUCGGGAAGCCCAAAUUCCGAUCAUGAAUUCUUGCUGGAAGAUGAAGAUCCAGGUUUUGUCCCCGCUCUCGUGCUCUGCCUGGUUAUUGGACAAACUGAUUGAGAGUGAGUCACUGUCUGUCCAACCUGAGUGACCUCUAUUAGCAAGUGUGCGUCAGAGCAUCCGCCGAACAGGAGUCCACCGGAGCACACAAACUGGGACCAUGGAGAUAACCAACUGGCUUAUCUAAACAGACUUGGUGUGAUUUACAAUGGUUAGGAGGGGGUUGUCACUUCCCCCAAAGAAGAAAUGCUGACACUUCAAGGCGACGAUUCAAGGCGGGAACCUGCUCAACAUAUUAUAUGCAUAUUCAUAUGGAUGUUUAUAAAAACUGUGUUGAAGUAUUCAGAAGGGGUCAGAUGCCUGAUGUAAGCCCUAUGUAACUUUGUAGGCAGUUAGGGACAACGAUCUGACCCAGAGCUCUGUAUUAGAAUUGUAUUGUAUAGGGAAUAAAUUAUUUUUGAUUUUAA